AGAGUUGAUCUGGCUCAGGAUGAACGCUAGCGACAGGCUUAACACAUGCAAGUCGAGGGGCAUCACGGGAGUAGCAAUACAACUGGUGGCGACCGGCGCACGGGUGAGUAACGCGUAUGCAACCUACCUAUCAGAGGGGAAUAACCCGGCGAAAGUCGGACUAAUACCGCAUAAAACAGGGGCACCGCAUGGUGAUAUUUGUUAAAGAAAUUCGCUGAUAGAUGGGCAUGCGUUCCAUUAGGUAGUUGGUGAGGUAACGGCUCACCAAGCCGACGAUGGAUAGGGAACUGAGAGGUUGGUCCCCCACACUGGUACUGAGACACGGACCAGACUCCUACGGGAGGCAGCAGUGAGGAAUAUUGGUCAAUGGGCGGGAGCCUGAACCAGCCAAGUCGCGUGAAGGAAGAAGGAUCUAUGGUUCGUAAACUUCUUUUGCAGGGGAAUAAAGUGCAGGACGUGUCCUGUUUUGUAUGUACCCUGAGAAUAAGGAUCGGCUAACUCCGUGCCAGCCGCCGC
RNAcentral lists this ribosomal RNA (516 nucleotides) under uncultured bacterium. RNAcentral's name for it is "bacterial SSU rRNA". It matches the Rfam family "Bacterial small subunit ribosomal RNA", at positions 8 to 518 of the family's 1533-position model. The record is from RNAcentral.